RNAcentral lists this ribosomal RNA (223 nucleotides) under uncultured bacterium. Its description in RNAcentral is "partial 16S ribosomal RNA". It matches the Rfam family "Bacterial small subunit ribosomal RNA", at positions 524 to 742 of the family's 1533-position model. The record is from RNAcentral.
CACGUAGGGUGCGAGCGUUGUCCGGAAUUAUUGGGCGUAAAGAGCUCGUAGGCGGUGUGUCGCGUCGGCCGUGAAAACCUGCAGCUUAACUGUGGGCUUGCGGUCGAUACGGGCAUCACUGGAGUUCGGCAGGGGGAGACUGGAAUUCCUGGUGUAGCGGUGAAAUGCGCAGAUAUCAGGAGGAACACCGAUGGCGAAGGCAGCCCCCCUGGGCCCGACACUG